Molecule: unclassified non-coding RNA, 281 nt
Filed under: uncultured fungus
Lineage: Eukaryota; Fungi
Description: sequence contains ITS1, 5.8S rRNA gene
Rfam family: 5.8S ribosomal RNA (bases 233-281)
Source: RNAcentral
UUUCCGUAGGUGAACCUGCGGAAGGAUCAUUAACGAAUUUGAAGGGGGGAUGCUGAGCUGGCCCUCCGGGGCAUGUGCCCGCUCCCCGUCAGAUCCAUUGCAACACCUGUGCACUUCAGAGGGAGGGGUCGGUCCUGCCUAACCGCGGGGCCUUCCCCUUCCUCCACUACAUCACAAACUCUUGACAGUACCUAGAACGUUGAGUCGCCUGAGACAUGGCACAACCUAAUACAACUUUCAACAACGGAUCUCUCGGCUCUCGCAUCGAUGAAGAACGCAGC